ACGAACGCUGGCGGCGUGCCUAAUACAUGCAAGUAGAACGCUGAAGAGAGGAGCUUGCUCUUCUUGGAUGAGUUGCGAACGGGUGAGUAACGCGUAGGUAACCUGCCUUGUAGCGGGGGAUAACUAUUGGAAACGAUAGCUAAUACCGCAUAACAAUGGAUGACACAUGUCAUUUAUUUGAAAGGGGCAAUUGCUCCACUACAAGAUGGACCUGCGUUGUAUUAGCUAGUAGGUGAGGUAAUGGCUCACCUAGGCGACGAUACAUAGCCGACCUGAGAGGGUGAUCGGCCACACUGGGACUGAGGCACGGCCCAGACUCCUACGGGAGGCAGCAGUAGGGAAUCUUCGGCAAUGGGGGCAACCCUGACCGAGCAACGCCGCGUGAGUGAAGAAGGUUUUCGGAUCGUAAAGCUCUGUUGUAAGUCAAGAACGGGUGUGAGAGUGGAAAGUUCACACUGUGACGGUAGCUUACCAGAAAGGGACGGCUAACUACGUG
This 496-nucleotide ribosomal RNA is filed under the name uncultured Streptococcus sp. RNAcentral's name for it is "bacterial SSU rRNA". It matches the Rfam family "Bacterial small subunit ribosomal RNA", at positions 29 to 507 of the family's 1533-position model. The record is from RNAcentral. Lineage: Bacteria; Bacillati; Bacillota; Bacilli; Lactobacillales; Streptococcaceae.